Molecule: ribosomal RNA, 458 nt
Filed under: uncultured bacterium
Lineage: Bacteria
Description: partial 16S ribosomal RNA
Rfam family: Bacterial small subunit ribosomal RNA
Source: RNAcentral
CCUACGGGCGGCAGCAGUGAGGAAUAUUGGUCAAUGGGCGAGAGCCUGAACCAGCCAAGUCGCGUGAGGGAGUACUGCCCUAUGGGUUGUAAACCUCUUUUGUCGGGGAGCAAAAGCCGGACGUGUCCGGCUGUGAGAGUACCCGAAGAAAAAGCAUCGGCUAACUCCGUGCCAGCAGCCGCGGUAAUACGGAGGAUGCGAGCGUUAUCCGGAUUUAUUGGGUUUAAAGGGUGCGCAGGCGGAUUUUUAAGUCAGCGGUAAAAUCGUGGGGCUCAACCCCAUCCAGCCGUUGAAACUGGGGAUCUAGAGUGUGCGAGAGGUAUGCGGAAUUCGUGGUGUAGCGGUGAAAUGCAUAGAUAUCACGCAGAACCCCGAUUGCGAAGGCAGCAUACCGGUGCACAACUGACGCUCAGGCACGAAAGCGUGGGUAUCGAACAGGAUUAGAUACCCGUGUAGUC